UAGGCCUUGCGUUGCUUCUUUAUGAGAAGUAAUGGAAGUGCUUGGGCUACACGUCCUUUCGCUACGACAAACUAAUAUCUGUUUGUCAUAAAAUUCAAUCACGACACCUAAUGCGUGAAGUGGUGGUGCAUUCAACUAGGCGAGAGGGCUACUGAGG
RNAcentral lists this non-coding RNA (157 nucleotides) under unclassified sequences. RNAcentral's name for it is "RT-16 RNA". It matches the Rfam family "RT-16 RNA". From Rfam's summary of the family: candidate division DUSEL4 (Archaea). Nearby to self-splicing intron genes The record is from Rfam by way of RNAcentral.